This 242-nucleotide ribosomal RNA is filed under the name uncultured Rikenellaceae bacterium. RNAcentral describes it as "partial 16S ribosomal RNA". It matches the Rfam family "Bacterial small subunit ribosomal RNA", at positions 796 to 1041 of the family's 1533-position model. Lineage: Bacteria; Pseudomonadati; Bacteroidota; Bacteroidia; Bacteroidales; Rikenellaceae. The record is from RNAcentral.
CACACUGUAAACGAUGAUAACUCGCUGCCGGCGAUACACAGUCGGUGGCCAAGCGAAAGCGAUAAGUUAUCCACCUGGGGAGUACGACCGCAAGGUUGAAACUCAAAGGAAUUGACGGGGGCCCGCACAAGCGGAGGAACAUGUGGUUUAAUUCGAUGAUACGCGAGGAACCUUACCCGGGCUCGAACGGUGCAUGAAUAUACAAGAGAUUGUAUAGUCCUUCGGGACAUGUAUCGAGGUGC